UACGAAGGGUGCAAACGUUGCUCGGAAUUAUUGGGCGUAAAGCGCACGUAGGCGGCUUUGCAAGUCGGAUGUGAAAGCCCUGGGCUCAACCUAGGAAGUGCAUUCGAAACUUCCAAGCUGGAGUGCUGGAGAGGAAGGCGGAAUUCUCGGUGUAGAGGUGAAAUUCGUAGAUAUCGAGAGGAACACCGGUGGCGAAGGCGGCCUUCUGGACAGUAACUGACGCUGAGACGCGAAAGCGUGGGGAGCAAACAGG
RNAcentral lists this ribosomal RNA (253 nucleotides) under uncultured bacterium. RNAcentral describes it as "partial 16S ribosomal RNA". It matches the Rfam family "Bacterial small subunit ribosomal RNA", at positions 524 to 776 of the family's 1533-position model. The record is from RNAcentral.